UGCAAUCUUGCAACAAUAAGCUCUGAGGUGAGUCCUAGGGCAGCUAAUCCCUUUGUACUUGUCGAAAUCCGGGACUUUGAAUUUUUAUGGAAUCACCAGACCUGACACCAAGCACAUAUUGACGACAUCUAAACCGGGAGUAGUGUGAACCUCAAAGGACUUGAAUUUCUCUUCCAAAGCAUGGAGUCUCCUAACAGCUGGGUCUAGGAGACCUCCAAUAAUAGGUUUGGCGGAUUGUAGCAUGAAGAAAG
RNAcentral lists this long non-coding RNA (251 nucleotides) under Lathyrus oleraceus (garden pea). RNAcentral's name for it is "Pisum sativum (pea) long non-coding RNA (PSAT_LNC002634)". The record is from RNAcentral. Lineage: Eukaryota; Viridiplantae; Streptophyta; Magnoliopsida; Fabales; Fabaceae.